AUAUUGGGUUAUACCAUAUAUUUAAGAACAAUGUCAUAAUUCAAAAUACGAUUGUUUUAACCCUUCUUUUACUGUAACUAUAAACAAUACGUAUAAACAAUAUUUUAUGAGAAAUUGUCAAAACUCAACAACUAUCAGCAAAAUUAUAAAAGAAAAUAAUGUUUUUGUUAUUAAUUAAAUAACUUUUUGAAUAAAAAGUUCUAUUGAUCUGUGGUAUAACACUGUUUCCUUCAACAAUUUAACUGUUUUAACAGUCUCUAACAGUCUUUGGAUCUUAAUGAUCUUCCAUAUUUUGUUUACAUAUAUUGGUUACACUAAAACAAAGGAUUAAAUAACCAAUUAAAAGAAACUAUUGAAUUAUAAAAUUGUUCUUAAAUAAACAAUUCUAUUUUAUAAAUAUGAUACUUUACUAUAUCUUGAUAAAUAUUACAUUACUUUAUAAUUAUACUUUAUAAAUACUUCAAAAUUUGUAAUUUUUCAGUAACUCUCCCAAGAAACCAGCGAUAUGUAUUUCUAACCAAGCAAGCAGUAUAAGUACACUCGUAUGCGGCCCGGCUAUCAAAAAUACAUACAUAUGUAUAAAGCUGCCAAAUCGCACACUAUCGCCGUUAUAAGUAUGACAGCUAAGUACUGAAGAAAUUAAAGGGAAUAUAAAUUACAACUAUUUUACACGAUGAAGCAGCAUGCGGGUACGCGUUGCGCACGCCAAGAAACGCGCGCACACAAUUACAUCAAGUUACGCAUCCACACGUAUACACACUGAUGCUCACACCGAUCGAGACAAUGCGUCAAAGCAGAGGCGGUAAUAAUCAUUCACCUUUCAUGUAAUAUCAAAAACUAAUAGAUCCAAUCUCUUCAAGGCAACAAACGAGAAUAUAUACCGAAUAUAAUCUGCAGAAGAAAUGAAACAUCGGAUAGUUGAAACGACUCAAGAAUGGAUCCACCGAGAACACGAUACAAUUACGUUCAUACGCGACGAGUUUCUCGCGAUAUCUUUCACAGACACGCGGGAAAAUCGUUCAGCCGAUAUCUGGUAAAAUCGUAAAAUUACACCAACGGAAGUUCGAUCAUGGUUUCUGUUAUCAAACAGAACACUAUUAAGAAUCUGUGAGAGAGAAACUCAACGAAAGUAUCCGGCCGUGGUACUCGACUGUUCGAUUUCUGCACACCAAAUUCGAUAUCCCUAUCACAGACUUUUCCAGCUGAAUAACGAACGUCGUAAUCAUGAAAAAUAUUGUUAAUGAUUCUAACAUCGACAUGAAUAUGUAGUAGAGUAUUUAUGAAUUUAUAACACAGAGUUGUUAGACGUAUAUUCACCACAAUAUCGAGAUGCACGAUAGUAGGCGCGGCUUUUCACCCCGUAUAGAGAGAAACGAUUUCGUGUCAGUGAUUUGUCACCUACCUACGUUAUUCGAGCGUGUCCUCUUCGUCAACGAUCCUCGUGCUAUCCACGAAUGAAACUCACGAUACCGAUUUAACACAGAAUCACGAACGAAUCGUGCUCUCGGCACUUUUCAGCUCGUGCUUGUCGCACGCCAACCGAGUCCGCCAUCUUGGGGCAACCGCCAAA
Long non-coding RNA from Bombus pascuorum, 1570 nucleotides. RefSeq lists it as uncharacterized. The record is from RefSeq and is a predicted model, not a curated record. The transcript is spliced from 2 exons. NCBI's taxonomy places the organism in Eukaryota, Metazoa, Arthropoda, Insecta, Hymenoptera, Apidae.